GCGUGAGGACGACCUCCCCCGUCAUGGGUAUCGUUUCGGGACGGCCCGG
This 49-nucleotide non-coding RNA is filed under the name Pelagibacterium sp. RNAcentral's name for it is "Guanidine-II sequence". It matches the Rfam family "Guanidine-II riboswitch aptamer (mini-ykkC)". Rfam says of the family: Simpler in structure and has fewer highly conserved nucleotide positions than the ykkC-yxkD leader. Despite this each of its two stem-loop structures directly bind free guanidine. Lineage: Bacteria; Pseudomonadati; Pseudomonadota; Alphaproteobacteria; Hyphomicrobiales; Devosiaceae. The record is from RNAcentral. RNAcentral also lists the same sequence under 1 other name.